UAUCGAGGAAAACAACGAAAAACUGAUACGGAAAAUAAGUUUGAAAGUAGUCUGUGGCAACUGUCAGCUGGUGAUUGUUGCCAAGUCUGCAGAUUCAGUUAUCUAUUACUCAAAAAAAGAAAUUAAUAUAUAAAAUGUGUAACUGGUCAAACUAGUACCGAUAUGCAAUUAAUAUGAACUCUUACAUUUAAAAGAAAAACACUAAAGUCGUAAGAAGGAUGGAGAGGGAAAAAAAAAAAACUUUCAGCUCAGUGCUUCGUGAAUGCAUGAGGCAAAAAUAUUAGAGCCUGAAAAUAAUGGCAGAAUGUGACUCUAGUCUCACUGACGGCGCAAUACUCGAUUCAAGAAGCCAUGGAAACUCUAGAUCUAAUGGUUCUGAAACAGAUGAAGGUGCAAAACUUUGGCAACUAAAACCGACCUUUUCUUCAAACACAUUAUUAGAGCGGCAUUUCAUGACCGAGAGUGGGCGGCCAUCUUGGGAUCAAGCAUUCAUCAGUCACGUGACCAUGAAGAGCCAGGAUUUGUGAGUUGGCACUGGAACAUCCGUGUUGCGUCGUCACUUCGCAGCGACACUGGAACAAGCCUAAGCAAGGGUGAUAUGGAAGACCGGCGGUCGCCUAUGAAGCAGGUCCCCUUCUCCACAUCACUGACUUAAUCCAAGGGAAGGGCGAGACACCAAGCAGCUUGGCACCUGUGCUAAUGCAGGAGUUGCCAGAACAAAGUUGAAAUCAACAACAAAUUGCCUUAGGGACUUCAGCUCCAUUUUUUUCUUCAUGGUUUAUCUCUUUUGGUAUUUAUGUAUUGACAUGACUACUAGAAACCAACACCA
Long non-coding RNA from Penaeus indicus, 829 nucleotides. RefSeq lists it as uncharacterized. The transcript is spliced from 3 exons. The record is from RefSeq and is a predicted model, not a curated record. Lineage: Eukaryota; Metazoa; Arthropoda; Malacostraca; Decapoda; Penaeidae.